Long non-coding RNA from Acipenser ruthenus (sterlet), 2465 nucleotides. RefSeq lists it as uncharacterized. The record is from RefSeq and is a predicted model, not a curated record. NCBI's taxonomy places the organism in Eukaryota, Metazoa, Chordata, Actinopteri, Acipenseriformes, Acipenseridae. The transcript is spliced from 4 exons.
UCUCGCGAGAUCAAAAAUGGAAACUUUGUUGUGUGAGAGGAAACAGUCGUAUGAUGGGGAGUGGCUCCAGCGUGAAAGUGACCUGUCUCCUUGUUUGCUACACUACAGAGGCUGUGCACACAGAUGACCCGCGUCCAGCUGCAGUUCUUCCUCACUUCAAGAUGAGACACUCUGAAUUACGCCAUCCACAGUCUUGCGACGUGUGACUUUUUUGGAAAGUCGUACAGCCUUUUCUCAUGUGCCUGCGACCUGAAAUUGCAUAGGGUCAGGUAAUGUUGAACAUUUUCAACAUUUGCUGCAUGGUCAGAGUGAAGCUGUACAGCUUUUAUAGCUGUCUGUGCCUGACAUGUCGCAUUAAUCUGCAACAGAAGUAUGAAUCAACCUAGACUGGGGUGGACGCAGUCCACUCACUCUUUUGGAAGGGUGGAACUAUUUUUGGUGAAACAGCAUUUUUCACACUCCAUCUUUAUUGUUAUUUAUCUUGAAUAAGUAGACUGCGGUCAAGCUGUCAGCCAGUUUUGAAAUGCCAGUCAAGCAAUCGGACGCUUAACUUGUAUAGAUAGUUUCCCUAUUUCAAGCAGUGAAAUUCUUCACUUCGAGAGAUUUAUAACUGCACUGGAAUGCAACGAGGGAUGAAAUACACUUUCAUACAUUUUCAAAAAGAAUGAAAAACAUAAUAUUUAAUAAGUAUGAAAUAAAUCCCACUAAUAGCUUAUUGCAACAGAGUCAAAGGACAAUUCUAUGCUGUUUAAAUGAUUGAGAACAGACAUUUUUCCUGCUUACUAUUAAAAUGUAUUUAACCAAAAACGUGUGUAUGUGUGUACCAGUAUAUGUGUGUAUGUAUAUAUCUGAAACAAAAACAAAAUGACAAGUUAUCAAAAGUGCCCAGCAUAUAGACCUGAUCAGUCUCUGGAUAGACUGCUGUGGGAUGAUCCGCCGCUCUUCCUGUGGAGCGGAGCUCUCUGGCGGCAGCUGUGGCGCAGGGUUCUCUUUCUUAGGCGGUAGUGCUGGGACUCUCUCUGGGGCUCUGGCACUGGCAGCAUAGGACGCUCCUUCCUUGGCAGCACGGAGUACUCUCCCUCCGGUAACGUGGGACUCUUUGGCAGCAGCUGCGGUCUCUCCGGCAGCGACUCGACGACCACCUGGAUGACCUCAUCCCACUCCCUCUCUGAGCGCCACACCCCCAGCUGUGCUCUCUCCCACCCGUCCGGUGUGGGGCUCUCUGAUUCGGCGGGUAGUAGAAAGACAAAUAGGAAAGAAAGAGCCUUCGAAUUUAAAGGCUUAUCUCCCUGCAUGUGCUUUUGGUCUCCAUUUUGUCAUGUAUGUGUUUUUAAACUAGAAUUUUAAAAAGCAUUGAGGUUUUAGAGGCGUGCUGGAGAUGGGCUGUAUUGGUUUUAUUGCUGUUUUUUUGCGAGCUACUUGUAAUAUCUUGUAAUAACUUCUGUGCAGAUAUUGAGCUGCACUGCCCUUUAGUUUUAAAUUAUAAUUCUGUGUUUAGUUAUUGUUUUAAUUAACGGGCAGUGCAAACUGCUUGCCGUGGCUGUGUAUUCUAGAUCUGCCCUGUUUGUUAAAUAUAGUUUACCACCUGUAUUUAAUAACACGAUGUUCACUGCCUGACAUAGUAAUGUUGGCCCAGAAUGUACUGGGCGAGCCAGCUGGGAUCCUGCCUGAUCGGGAAGGCUCAGGCAGCGUAUCGGGCCAUGACGGACAUCGAAGCUGCCAACUACGACCUGGUAAAGCAAGCCAUCCUACGCCGGCUCAACAUCACGGGGGAAACGCACAGGGUACGAUUCCGGUAGUACCGAAGAUCCCCAGAUACACGCCCCAGGGUGGUUGCGCAGCAGUUGUGUGACCACAUGGUGCCAUGUGGUCGGCGCUGAAACUCAGGUAUAGAUACGGCACCACAACCCCACCACCCUGGAAGUAGCAAUAAAACUGGCUGAGGAUUUUGAGGACUCCCUGGUUUCAGCCCACCUGGCCACAGCUCCCAUCCACCGGAGCAGCUGCACACCACCUCCUUUCUGCUCCACCUACAACACCAGGACUGAGACCUCCUAGAUCUCCGGCCCCAAUGGGCAACCUUGUCUCCUCUUCAUGGAGGUCAAGGUUGGCCCCCAGCGGGAGUAAAGCUGCUACCUCGGCUACGCUGCCAUACCAGCAACGAGAGAAAUUUGUAACCAAUGUUCCCUCCUCCCCUAUCUGCUUUAGAUGCAACAACAGGGGCACCAGGCCAGCUCAUGCCCAUCGGCAAUGGAGUGUGACGUGGCGGCGGUACAAUUGGGCAUCUGGAGCGGAAAAAUGAAUAAAGAGAAAAGGACCACAAAAUGGGAGAGAGCAUCUCUAAGACAAGGCUGGGGUCUGGUGGGAGAGCGCUCGGAUGGUGUCACAGUACGAGAUAGUCCUUACCGGAUCCCAGAAAGACGACAAAGUGGUGUUCGCAAAGAGGUAUGGGACAUGUUCGAACU